Molecule: ribosomal RNA, 465 nt
Filed under: Vreelandella stevensii
Lineage: Bacteria; Pseudomonadati; Pseudomonadota; Gammaproteobacteria; Oceanospirillales; Halomonadaceae
Description: partial 16S ribosomal RNA
Rfam family: Bacterial small subunit ribosomal RNA
Source: RNAcentral
CCUACGGGAGGCUGCAGUGGGGAAUAUUGGACAAUGGGGGCAACCCUGAUCCAGCCAUGCCGCGUGUGUGAAGAAGGCCCUCGGGUUGUAAAGCACUUUCAGUGAGGAAGAACGCCUGGUGGUUAAUACCCAUCAGGAAAGACAUCACUCACAGAAGAAGCACCGGCUAACUCCGUGCCAGCAGCCGCGGUAAUACGGAGGGUGCGAGCGUUAAUCGGAAUUACUGGGCGUAAAGCGCGCGUAGGUGGCUUGAUAAGCCGGUUGUGAAAGCCCCGGGCUCAACCUGGGAACGGCAUCCGGAACUGUCAAGCUAGAGUGCAGGAGAGGAAGGUAGAAUUCCCGGUGUAGCGGUGAUAUGCGUAGAGAUCGGGAGGAAUACCAGUGGCGAAGGCGGCCUUCUGGACUGACACUGACACUGAGGUGCGAAAGCGUGGGUAGCAAACAGGAUUAGAUACCCUAGUAGUC